RNAcentral lists this long non-coding RNA (252 nucleotides) under Setaria viridis. RNAcentral describes it as "long non-coding RNA (SVIR_LNC003777)". Lineage: Eukaryota; Viridiplantae; Streptophyta; Magnoliopsida; Poales; Poaceae. The record is from RNAcentral.
CUAUGAAAAUAUAUUUCAUAUCGAAUCUAAUGAAACUUGCUAGACAUCAAAACCACCGAUACAUUUUUAUAUAAACUUGGUCAAACAUAAGAUGGUUUGACUUAGAACAGAACUAAAGGGACACUUUUUGCGGGACGGAGGAAGUAGAUCAUGAAUCCCUAAUCAUGAGCUACACACCUUAUUAAUUACCAGCUCCGGGGGCCACAUUUCUAUCCCCCACCACCACUCCCACCACAACCCCAUCCUCUCCUG